This 253-nucleotide ribosomal RNA is filed under the name uncultured bacterium. RNAcentral's name for it is "partial 16S ribosomal RNA". It matches the Rfam family "Bacterial small subunit ribosomal RNA", at positions 524 to 776 of the family's 1533-position model. The record is from RNAcentral.
UACGUAGGGUGCGAGCGUUAAUCGGAAUUACUGGGCGUAAAGCGUGCGCAGGCGGUUCGUUGUGUCGGUGGUGAAAGCCCCGGGCUUAACCUGGGAAUGGCCAUGGAAACUGGCGAACUGGAGUGUGGCAGAGGGGGGUGGAAUUCCGCGUGUAGCAGUGAAAUGCGUAGAGAUGCGGAGGAACACCGUUGGCGAAGGCAGCCCCCUGGGCUAGCACUGCCGCUCAGGCACGAAAGCGUGGGGAGCAAACAGG